This 449-nucleotide ribosomal RNA is filed under the name uncultured bacterium. Its description in RNAcentral is "partial 16S ribosomal RNA". It matches the Rfam family "Bacterial small subunit ribosomal RNA", at positions 29 to 523 of the family's 1533-position model. The record is from RNAcentral.
AACGAACGCUGGCGGCAGGCUUAACACAUGCAAGUCGAACGUCCUAGCAAUAGGGAGUGGCGCACGGUUGAGUAACGCGUGGGAAUGUACCGUUUAGUGGGGGAUAACCAAGGGAAACUUUGGCUAAUACCGCAUACGCCCUUCGGGGGAAAGAUUUAUCGCUAAACGAUCAGCCCGCGUGAGAUUAGGUAGUUGGUGGGGUAACGGCCUACCAAGCUGACGAUCUCUAGCUGGUCUGAGAGGAUGAUCAGCCACACUGGAACUGAGACACGGUCCAGACCCCUACGGGAGGCAGCAGUGGGGAAUAUUGGACAAUGGGGGCAACCCUGAUCCAGCCAUGCCGCGUGAGUGAUGAAGGCCUUAGGGUUGUAAAGCUCUUUUACCGAUGAAGAUAAUGACGGUAGUCGGAGAAAAAGCCCCGGCUAACUUCGUGCCAGCCGCCGCAGUAA